GCCUGCGUAGCUCAAUGGAUAGAGCAUCUGUCUUCGGAACAGAGGGUUGGGGGUUCGAAUCCUCCCGCAGGCA
This 73-nucleotide transfer RNA is filed under the name Microgenomates bacterium DG_75. Its description in RNAcentral is "tRNA-Arg". It matches the Rfam family "tRNA". From Rfam's summary of the family: Transfer RNA (tRNA) molecules are approximately 80 nucleotides in length. Their secondary structure includes four short double-helical elements and three loops (D, anti-codon, and T loops). Lineage: Bacteria; Candidatus Microgenomatota. The record is from RNAcentral.